This 515-nucleotide ribosomal RNA is filed under the name uncultured bacterium. RNAcentral's name for it is "partial 16S ribosomal RNA". It matches the Rfam family "Bacterial small subunit ribosomal RNA", at positions 29 to 523 of the family's 1533-position model. The record is from RNAcentral.
AGUUAACGCUGGCAGCGUGCAUAACACAUGCAAGUCGAACGGGGCUUUCUGCGAUUACAUCAAGGGAAGUCUAGUGGCAGACGAGUGAGUAACACGUAAGGAAUCUACCUCCAAGAAGGGGAUAACGUGUCGAAAGAUGCGCUAAUACCCUAUGUAAUCCCUGAGCGGCAUCGCAAGGGGAUGAAAGGCCCGCAAGGGUCGCCUGGGGGUGACCUUGCGUCCUAUCAGCUAGUUGGUGAGGUAACGGCCCACCAAGGCUACGACGGGUACCCGGCCUGAAAGGGCGACCGGGCACGGAGGCACUGAGACACGGGCCUCACUCCUACGGGAGGCAGCAGUGGGGAAUUUUGGACAAUGGGGGGAACCCUGAUCCAGCCAUGCCGCGUGUGUGAAGAAGGCCUUAUGGUUGUAAAGCACUUUAAGCGAGGAGGAGGCUACUUUAGUUAAUACCUAGAGAUAGUGGACGUUACUCGCAGAAUAAGCACCGGCUAACUCUGUGCCAGCCGCCGCGGUAA